RNAcentral lists this long non-coding RNA (859 nucleotides) under Junco hyemalis (dark-eyed junco). RNAcentral describes it as "lncRNA (ENSJHYG00000006324.1)". Lineage: Eukaryota; Metazoa; Chordata; Aves; Passeriformes; Passerellidae. The record is from RNAcentral.
AAAGAUCAUCAAAGGCUGUCCCAGCCCCUCUGCCAGGACAGGACACACCUUCCACUAGACCAGGUUGCUCAGAGCCCCAUGCGGUGUAUACUCAUUGCUCAAGCGAAGUGAGAAAAGCUUUGUCUCAUGCUGUUGCUUAUCUCCUCUGCUCUUGUCCUAGGAAGAUUUUUCAGGAUAGCGGCAUUUCAAAAAGUGUUGGAUCUGACUCGUCCUUUCACAUGGAAAUUUCCUGAAUGUCCCCACUGAUAAUGAGUGUCUAAAUUGAUCGAAGAUAAUUGAAGAGUACAAGGGAUAGAUGGGAAAGAGGGAGAAAAUAACAAGAAGAAGGACAGGUAAGAUGAGUUUUAUGCAUCUGAUAUUUAAAAAAAAUCUUCCAGUGUCCUGAUUAUUCACUUAUUUUGCAACUGUCCAAUUCUUUUUAGUAAGACCAUCAACUUGGACUGACAGGAAGGAGAUAAUAGCCUUAGGUUGGCUUAUGUAAGAUGUUAAACUCACUAAAAAUUUCUGUGCUUAUGAAUGUAUAUCAUCAUACAUUGCACUUCUAAAAGUCUGCUUUUUAUAUGCUAUGUCUGCCUGACAUUUAAAAAAGAAUUAUCAGCCUUUUCUGAUAUCUAAGUGUCUCAUACUCUUUUGAAAACCAUGAUCAUUGUACAUUUUGGAGUACAAAUUGAGAUUUUGUUUUUAUCCUGUUGUAGAGUAGAUGCCUGCUUCUAAGUUUUUGGAUACUUUGCAGCAGUCUGAUUUGGUGUUAGACAAAUAAUACAGAUGAUUAAUUGCUUUAUUGAUGGAAAUGGCCAGGAGACCUAGAGAGACACAUCUAGAAGAAUAAAUUUGGCUGUAAUUGGUCUGUGACCUUUCA